Molecule: ribosomal RNA, 280 nt
Filed under: Orcynia calcarata
Lineage: Eukaryota; Metazoa; Arthropoda; Insecta; Lepidoptera; Erebidae
Description: partial 28S ribosomal RNA
Rfam family: Eukaryotic large subunit ribosomal RNA
Source: RNAcentral
GGAAAGAAACCCAGCAUGAAUCCCGCCGUUGUUCUGGCGGCGGGAGAUGUGGUGUUCGGGAGGUUCCGCUUUCUCGUCGCGAUCACUCCUGUCCAAGUUCGUCUUGAACGGGGCCGUUUUCCCGUAGAGGGUGCCAGGCCCGUAGCGACGGAGGAUCGCGGCGAGAGGGACUCUCCUUAGAGUCGGGUUGCUUGAGAGUGCAGCCCUAAGUGGGUGGUAAACUCCAUCUAAGGCUAAAUAUUACCGCGAGACCGAUAGCGAACAAGUACCGUAAGGGAAA